CUACGGGUGGCAGCAGUGGGGAAUAUUCGGCAAUGGGCGAAAGCCUGACCGAGCCAUGCCGCGUGAGUGAUGAAGGCCUUAGGGUUGUAAAACUCUUUCGCCGGUGAAGAUAAUGACGGUAACCGGUAAAGAAGCCCCGGCUAAUUUCGUGCCAGCAGCCGCGGUAAUACGAAAGGGGCAAGCAUUGUUCGGAAUUACUGGGCGUAAAGCGCGCGUAGGCGGCCUAUCAAGUUAGGGGUGAAAUCCCGGAGCUCAACUCCGGAACUGCCUCUAAAACUGAUAAGCUAGAGGAUGCGAGAGGAAAGUGGAAUUCCGAGUGUAGAGGUGAAAUUCGUAGAUAUUCGGAAGAACACCAGUGGCGAAGGCGACUUUCUGGCGCAUAUCUGACGCUGAGGUGCGAAAGCGUGGGGAGCAAACAGGAUUAGAUACCCCUGUAGUC
This 439-nucleotide ribosomal RNA is filed under the name uncultured bacterium. Its description in RNAcentral is "partial 16S ribosomal RNA". It matches the Rfam family "Bacterial small subunit ribosomal RNA", at positions 339 to 795 of the family's 1533-position model. The record is from RNAcentral.